RNAcentral lists this non-coding RNA (163 nucleotides) under chicken gut metagenome. The record is from RNAcentral.
GGCGCUGCUGUUUGGGCGGGAAAAGGGAAUCAGGUGCAAGUCCUGAGCGAUCCGGUCACUGUAAACAGGGAGCAUCCCCCGCAUAAUCCAUUGUACGGAGAGUCCGUAUGAGAAGGAAGGGGAAGAUGUGUCGAUCUGUAAGCCAGGAAACCUGCUUAAUGCU